Molecule: transfer RNA, 70 nt
Filed under: Dipodomys ordii (Ord's kangaroo rat)
Lineage: Eukaryota; Metazoa; Chordata; Mammalia; Rodentia; Heteromyidae
Rfam family: tRNA
About the family: Transfer RNA (tRNA) molecules are approximately 80 nucleotides in length. Their secondary structure includes four short double-helical elements and three loops (D, anti-codon, and T loops).
Source: Rfam by way of RNAcentral
GGGAACGUGGCUCAGUGGUAGAGCUCUUGCCUUGCAUGCAUGAGGCCCUGGGUUCGAUUCCUCAGCACCA